This 74-nucleotide transfer RNA is filed under the name Streptomyces finlayi. RNAcentral's name for it is "tRNA-Glu". It matches the Rfam family "tRNA". Rfam says of the family: Transfer RNA (tRNA) molecules are approximately 80 nucleotides in length. Their secondary structure includes four short double-helical elements and three loops (D, anti-codon, and T loops). Lineage: Bacteria; Bacillati; Actinomycetota; Actinomycetes; Kitasatosporales; Streptomycetaceae. RNAcentral also lists the same sequence under 1 other name. The record is from RNAcentral.
GGUCCCGUAGCGCAGAGGCAGGCGCGCUCGGCCCUCGGCCGAGACACGCCGGUUCGAAUCCGGCCGGGACCGCC